This is a long non-coding RNA of Capsella rubella, 672 nucleotides long. RefSeq lists it as uncharacterized. The transcript is spliced from 3 exons. NCBI's taxonomy places the organism in Eukaryota, Viridiplantae, Streptophyta, Magnoliopsida, Brassicales, Brassicaceae. The record is from RefSeq and is a predicted model, not a curated record.
CGAUGUAAUCGAACUUAUCUGUGUUGUCAAGAAUUGGCCGUCUGGAUUCCUUUCGAUCCAAUAUCAUUCUCAAUGUUGUCAAUCAAAACAACGAUGGGUUCUAGAAGCAUACACCAAAAUAAAUGGGAUCGAAGUCAGCAGAAGCGACUAAUAUCGCCGGAAGAUAGUUACUCCAUCGUUUGAUCUACUUUGAAGCAAAGCAUGGACUACCCAACACAUAACUGUUUGUGUUUUACUUAAUCCAAUUCCAAAUUUAGAUUGUGCUCUCACAUAGGACAAUGCUUAUCAAGGAAAUUGGAAAUUACAGCUUCUUUAUGCAGUGUUAACUUGAGUGACGGUAAACAAUAAUUCUUACGGGUGUGAAGAUUGGAAGAAGCUAAUACUUCGACUCAUGAAACUUUAGGAUAAUUUCAUGAAUAUACUCUUCAAGGUAAGUUCGUGUAACAAUCUUGCUCUUCAAAUGGAUAAGUAUAUGUCAGUUUAUAUCAUCAUGAUAGUCUAAUGUAGUAGUUGACUGGAUUACAAAUAUAAUUAAGAGUAUUGCAAUGAAUUUUAUUGAUGAUGAGUUUCAUGCCUAUUUAGGACAAUAAUGAGACAGUGAUUGUAGCAUUUUUUGGAAAAGGUAGAUGAAAUACAAUAAAUAGCAAGGUUGAGAGAAAUCUCAUUCUUCCA